This 441-nucleotide long non-coding RNA is filed under the name Bos mutus (wild yak). RNAcentral's name for it is "lncRNA (ENSBMUG00000010288.1)". Lineage: Eukaryota; Metazoa; Chordata; Mammalia; Artiodactyla; Bovidae. The record is from RNAcentral.
AAAUACGGUCUACGUGGCAGCCGGGGAGGUAGAGAGGACGUCGCUGGGGCGCCUCAGGGACUUUCCCUGUCCCGCUGGGAAAGCGUGAUCUCACCCGGUUCCUCCCUCCUCGCCGGACGCGGAAGGGGCGGGCGGAGGCCGUGCGCCUGGGGCUACAGGCGCGCCCUCCGCGCCCUGCCAUCCGCGGGCAUCGCCACCAGGCCAUCAGGCCACCAACAUCCGCCCCGAGGACCCGAGCAGUGCGGCCGGUCGCCCCCGCGACCCCAGCUAUUUCAGAUUGACUUCUCACACUGUUGCUGGUGUAGUCGGGAGUUGGUCAGUUCUACAGCCCCCAGGGGUCCUGGUGCCCGUGAGCAGGGUGGAGACACCGGGCCUGCAGCGCAGCGGGGCGGCGUGCGGAACAUGACUUCAUCAUCCAGUGUUUCUCCCGCAGCCGCUGGA